Molecule: ribosomal RNA, 143 nt
Filed under: Staphylococcus aureus
Lineage: Bacteria; Bacillati; Bacillota; Bacilli; Caryophanales; Staphylococcaceae
Description: partial 23S ribosomal RNA
Rfam family: Bacterial large subunit ribosomal RNA
Source: RNAcentral
UAAGCAUGAAGCCCCCCUCAAGAUGAGAUUUCCCAACUUCGGUUAUAAGAUCCCUCAAAGAUGAUGAGGUUAAUAGGUUCGAGGUGGAAGCAUGGUGACAUGUGGAGCUGACGAAUACUAAUCGAUCGAAGACUUAAUCAAAA